This 369-nucleotide ribosomal RNA is filed under the name uncultured bacterium. Its description in RNAcentral is "bacterial SSU rRNA". It matches the Rfam family "Bacterial small subunit ribosomal RNA", at positions 30 to 400 of the family's 1533-position model. The record is from RNAcentral.
AUUGAACGCUGGCGGCAUGCCUUACACAUGCAAGUCGAACGGCAGCACGGGAGCAAUCCUGGUGGCGAGUGGCGAACGGGUGAGUAAUAUAUCGGAACGUGCCCGGUCGUGGGGGAUAACGUAGCGAAAGCUACGCUAAUACCGCAUACGAUCUACGGAUGAAAGCGGGGGAUCGCAAGACCUCGCGCGAUUGGAGCGGCCGAUAUCAGAUUAGGUAGUUGGUGAGGUAAAGGCUCACCAAGCCGACGAUCUGUAGCUGGUCUGAGAGGACGACCAGCCACACUGGGACUGAGACACGGCCCAGACUCCUACGGGAGGCAGCAGUGGGGAAUUUGGACAAUGGGCGCAAGCCUGAUCCAGCAAUGCCGC